Molecule: ribosomal RNA, 747 nt
Filed under: uncultured bacterium
Lineage: Bacteria
Description: bacterial SSU rRNA
Rfam family: Bacterial small subunit ribosomal RNA
Source: RNAcentral
UGGCGAACGGGUGAGUAACGCGUAAGUAACCUGCCCCUAAGUAAAGGAUAACUCCGAGAAAUUAGAGCUAAUACUGUAUGUGGUGGUGGAGGUAAUGCUUCAUCACUAAAGCUUUAGGGCGCUUAGGGAGGGGCUUGCGUCCGAUUAGCUAGUUGGUAGGGUAAAGGUCUACCAAGGCGAUGAUCGGUAGCUGGUUUGAGAGGACAUCCAGCCACACUGGGAUUGAGAUACGGCCCAGACUCCUACGGGAGGCAGCAGCAAGGAAUUUUGUGCAAUGGGCGAAAGCCUGACACAGCGACGCCGUGUGGGGGAUGAAGGCCUUCGGGUUGUAAACCCCUUUUCUCAGGGAAGAAUAAUGACGGUACCUGAGGAAUAAGUCUUGGCUAACUACGUGCCAGCAGCCGCGGUAAUACGUAGGAGGCGAGCGUUAUCCGGAUUUACUGGGCGUAAAGAGGGCGUAGGCGGUUUUUCAAGUCGAUUGUAAAAUCUCCCGGCUUAACUGGGAGGGGCCAGUCGAUACUGUUAGACUAGAGAGCAGCAGGGGGAGGUGGAAUUCCCGGUGUAGUGGUGAAAUGUGUAGAUAUCGGGAGGAACACCAGAGGCGAAGGCGGCCUCCUAGGCUGUUUCUGACGCUGAGGUCCGAAAGCGUGGGGAGCAAACAGGAUCAGAUACCCUGGUAGUCCACGCUGUAAUCGAUGGACACUAGGUAUAGGGAGUAUCGACCCUCUCUGUGCCGAAGCUAACGCA